Molecule: ribosomal RNA, 645 nt
Filed under: uncultured bacterium
Lineage: Bacteria
Description: bacterial SSU rRNA
Rfam family: Bacterial small subunit ribosomal RNA
Source: RNAcentral
AGAGUUUGAUCAUGGCUCAGGACGAACGCUGGCGGCGUGCCUAAUGCAUGCAAGUCGAGCGGGCUACGAUCUUCGGAUUGUAGCUUAGCGGCGAACGGGUGAGUAACACGUAGGUAAUCUACCCUUCAGAGGAGGACAACCUCAGGAAACUGAGGCUAAACCUUCAUACGUUCACUGGUAGGGAUACUGGUGAAGAAAGAGUUACCUUAGUGGUAGCUGCUGAAGGAUGAGCCUGCGGCCCAUCAGGUAGUUGGUGAGGUAACGGCUCACCAAGCCGAAGACGGGUAACCGGUCUGAGAGGAUGUCCGGUCACACUGGGACUGAGACACGGCCCAGACUCCUACGGGAGGCAGCAGCAGGGAAUCUUGGGCAAUGGGCGAAAGCCUGACCCAGCGACGCCGCGUGGAGGAAGAAGUCCUUCGGGGCGUAAACUCCUGGACUGGGGGACGAGGAAGGACGGUACCCCAGUAGAAAGGGACGGCUAACUACGUGCCAGCAGCCGCGGUAAAACGUAGGUCCCGAGCGUUGUUCGGAUUCACUGGGUGUAAAGGGCGCGUAGGUGGUUGUCUGUGUCUCAUGUGAAAACUCAGGGCUCAACUCUGAGAUUGCGUGGGAAACUAGGCAGCUAGAGGACGGUAGAGGGGA